This 393-nucleotide ribosomal RNA is filed under the name uncultured Bacteroidota bacterium. RNAcentral's name for it is "bacterial SSU rRNA". It matches the Rfam family "Bacterial small subunit ribosomal RNA", at positions 8 to 397 of the family's 1533-position model. The record is from RNAcentral. Lineage: Bacteria; Pseudomonadati; Bacteroidota.
AGAGUUUGAUCCUGGCUCAGGAUGAACGCUAGCGGCAGGCUUAAUACAUGCAAGUCGAGGGGCAACAGGGGUAGCAAUACCUGCUGGCGACCGGCAAACGGGUGCGGAACACGUACAGAACCUUCCUCUGAGUGGGGGAUAGCCCGGAGAAAUCCGGAUUAAUACCCCAUAGUAAUAUUAGGUGGCAUCACUUGAUAUUUAAAGAUUUAUUGCUUAGAGAUGGCUGUGCGUAUGAUUAGGUAGUUGGUGCAGGUAACGGCUCACCAAGCCGACGAUCAUUAACUGGUGUGAGAGCACGACCAGUCACACGGGCACUGAGACACGGGCCCGACUCCUACGGGAGGCAGCAGUAAGGAAUAUUGGUCAAUGGACGGAAGUCUGAACCAGCCAUGC